UAACGGGUGGAGCCUGCGGUUUAAUUGGACUCAACGCCGGAAAACUCACCGGGGCGACAGCAAUAUGUAGGUCAAGCUAAAGACUUUACCAGAAUCGCUGAGAGGAGGUGCAUGGCCGUCGUCAGUUCGUACUGUGAAGCAUCCUGUUAAGUCAGGCAACGAGCGAGACCCGUGCCCACUGUUGCCAGCAUGUCCUUCGGGAUGAUGGGUACUCUGUGGGACCGCCGAUGCUAAAUCGGAGGAAGGUGCGGGCUACGGUAGGUCAGUAUGCCCCGAAUCUCCCGGGCUACACGCGGGCUACAAUGACUGGGACAAUGGGCUCCUACCCCGAAAGGGGAUGGUAAUCUCAUAAACCCAGCCUUAGUUCGGAUCGAGGGCUGUAACCCGCCCUCGUGAAGCUGGAAUCCGUAGUAAUCGCGUUUCAACAUAGCGCGGUGAAUACGUCCCUGCUCCUU
This 455-nucleotide ribosomal RNA is filed under the name uncultured Methanomethylovorans sp. RNAcentral's name for it is "bacterial SSU rRNA". It matches the Rfam family "Archaeal small subunit ribosomal RNA", at positions 882 to 1338 of the family's 1478-position model. Lineage: Archaea; Methanobacteriati; Methanobacteriota; Methanomicrobia; Methanosarcinales; Methanosarcinaceae. The record is from RNAcentral.